Molecule: ribosomal RNA, 284 nt
Filed under: uncultured Gammaproteobacteria bacterium
Lineage: Bacteria; Pseudomonadati; Pseudomonadota; Gammaproteobacteria
Description: partial 16S ribosomal RNA
Rfam family: Bacterial small subunit ribosomal RNA
Source: RNAcentral
CUACCACGGCGACGAUCUAUAGCUGGUCUGAGAGGAUGAUCAGCCACACCGGGACUGAGACACGGCCCGGACUCCUACGGGAGGCAGCAGUGGGGAAUAUUGCGCAAUGGGCGAAAGCCUGACGCAGCCAUGCCGCGUGUGUGAAGAAGGCCUUCGGGUUGUAAAGCACUUUCAAUUGGGAGGAAAGGCUCACGGUUAAUAACCGUGAGCUGUGACGUUACCUUUAGAAGAAGCACCGGCUAACUCCGUGCCAGCAGCCGCGUAAUACGGAGGGUGCAAGCGUU